UACGAAGGGGGGCUAGCGUUGCUCGGAAUCACUGGGCGUAAAGGGCGCGUAGGCGGCCGAUUAAGUCGGGGGUGAAAGUCUGUGGCUCAACCACAGAAUUGCCUCGAUACUGGUUGGCUUGAGACCGGAAGAGGACAGCGGAACUGCGAGUGUAGAGGUGAAAUUCGUAGAUAUUCGCAAGAACACCAGUGGCGAAGGCGGCUGUCUGGUCCGGUUCUGACGCUGAGGCGCGAAAGCGUGGGGAGCAAACAGG
This 253-nucleotide ribosomal RNA is filed under the name uncultured bacterium. Its description in RNAcentral is "partial 16S ribosomal RNA". It matches the Rfam family "Bacterial small subunit ribosomal RNA", at positions 524 to 776 of the family's 1533-position model. The record is from RNAcentral.